RNAcentral lists this ribosomal RNA (490 nucleotides) under uncultured bacterium. RNAcentral describes it as "partial 16S ribosomal RNA". It matches the Rfam family "Bacterial small subunit ribosomal RNA", at positions 30 to 507 of the family's 1533-position model. The record is from RNAcentral.
AUUGAACGCUGGCGGCAGGCCUAACACAUGCCAGUCGAACGGUAACAGGAAGAAGCUUGCUUCUUUGCUGACGAGUGGCGGACGGGUGAGUAAUGUCUGGGAAACUGCCUGAUGGAGGGGGAUAACUACUGGAAACGGUAGCUAAUACCGCAUAACAUCGCAAGACCAAAAAGGGGGACCUUCGGGCCUCUUGCCAUCGGAUGUGCCCAGAUGGGAUUAGCUAGUAGGUGGGGUAACGGCUCACCUAGGCGACGAUCCCUAGCUGGUCUGAGAGGAUGACCAGCCACACUGGAACUGAGACACGGUCCAGACUCCUACGGGAGGCAGCAGUGGGGAAUAUUGCACAAUGGGCGCAAGCCUGAUGCAGCCAUGCCGCGUGUAUGAAGAAGGCCUUCGGGUUGUAAAGUACUUUCAGCGGGGAGGAAGGGAGUAAAGUUAAUACCUUUGCUCAUUGACGUUACCCGCAGAAGAAGCACCGGCUAACUCCGUG